AUUUCCUGAAUUUGUCAGUAA
This 21-nucleotide small RNA is filed under the name Arabidopsis thaliana (thale cress). RNAcentral describes it as "ATSL121910". The record is from RNAcentral. Lineage: Eukaryota; Viridiplantae; Streptophyta; Magnoliopsida; Brassicales; Brassicaceae.